Molecule: non-coding RNA, 73 nt
Organism: Cordylochernes scorpioides
Lineage: Eukaryota; Metazoa; Arthropoda; Arachnida; Pseudoscorpiones; Chernetidae
Source: the annotation of a GenBank genome assembly
UCCAGGGUAGCCUAGUGGACAUGGCACCUGCCCGGUAAGCAGAAGGUUGUGGGUUCGAUUCCCGCCCUUGGAC